Molecule: ribosomal RNA, 466 nt
Filed under: uncultured bacterium
Lineage: Bacteria
Description: partial 16S ribosomal RNA
Rfam family: Bacterial small subunit ribosomal RNA
Source: RNAcentral
GAUGAACGCUGGCGGCGUGUUUAACACAUGCAAGUCGAACGAUGAAGCCCAGCUUGCUGGGCGGAUUAGUGGCGAACGGGUGAGUAACACGUGAGUAACCUGCCCUUGACUCUGGGAUAAGCCCGGGAAACUGGGUCUAAUACCGGAUAGGAGCGCCUGUCGCAUGACGGGUGCUGGAAAGAUCUUUCGGUCAUGGAUGGACUCGCGGCCUAUCAGCUUGUUGGUGAGGUAACGGCUCACCAAGGCGACGACGGGUAGCCGGCCUGAGAGGGUGACCGGCCACACUGGGACUGAGACACGGCCCAGACCCCUACGGGAGGCAGCAGUGGGGAAUAUUGCACAAUGGGCGAAAGCCUGAUGCAGCGACGCCGCGUGAGGGAUGACGGCCUUCGGGUUGUAAACCUCUUUCAGCAGGGAAGAAGCGAAAGUGACGGUACCUGCAGAAGAAGCACCGGCUAACUACGUG